RNAcentral lists this ribosomal RNA (252 nucleotides) under uncultured bacterium. RNAcentral describes it as "partial 16S ribosomal RNA". It matches the Rfam family "Bacterial small subunit ribosomal RNA", at positions 524 to 776 of the family's 1533-position model. The record is from RNAcentral.
UACGUAGGGGGCAAGCGUUGUCCGGAUUUAUUGGGCGUAAAGAGCGUGUAGGCGGCCUGAAAGGUCAGCUGUGAAAACUCGAGGCUCAACCUCGAGACGUCGGUUGAAACCAUCUGGCUAGAGUCCGGAAGAGGAGCGUGGAAUUCCCGGUGUAGCGGUGAAAUGCGCAGAUAUCGGGAAGAACACCCGUGGCGAAGGCGGCACUCUGGGACGGUACUGACGCUGAGACGCGAAAGCGUGGGAGCGAACAGG